This 1176-nucleotide ribosomal RNA is filed under the name uncultured Rozellomycota. RNAcentral's name for it is "SSU rRNA". It matches the Rfam family "Eukaryotic small subunit ribosomal RNA", at positions 455 to 1690 of the family's 1831-position model. The record is from RNAcentral. Lineage: Eukaryota; Fungi; Rozellomycota.
CACAGGGAGGUAGUGACAGUAAAUAGCAAUGCAGGGCCCUCUGGGUCUUGCAAUUGGAAUGAGAACAAUUUAAAUCCCUUAUCGAGUAACAAUUGGAGGGCAAGUCUGGUGCCAGCAGCCGCGGUAAUUCCAGCUCCAAUAGCGUAUAUUAAAGUUGUUGCAGUUAAAAAGCUCGUAGUUGAACCUUGGCGUCAGCUAGGCGGGACUGAGCAAUCAGGGCCAGCCGGGCGGCGCCGUAGUGGAGCGAACGGGCAACCGCCUCGCUCCGAGUUACUGUGAAGAAAUUAGAGUGUUUAAAGCAGGCAGCCGCUUGAAUACAUCAGCAUGGAAUAACAAGAUAGGACUAGAGUCCCACUUGUUGGUUUGGGGGCAUUAGUAAUGAUUAAUAGGGCCAGUUGGGGGCAUUAGUAUUCAGUAGUCAGAGGUGAAAUUCUUGGAUUUACUGAAGACUAACUAGUGCGAAAGCAUUUGCCAAGGAUGUUUUCAUUAAUCAAGAACGAAAGUUAGGGGAUCGAAGACGAUCAGAUACCGUCGUAGUCUUAACUAUAAACGAUGCCGACUAAGGAUCGGCAGCAGUCGUUCGCGACGCUGUCGGCACUUUGUGAGAAAUCAAAGUUUUUUGGGUUCUGGGGGGAGUAUGGUCGCAAGGCUGAAACUUAAAGGAAUUGACGGAAGGGCACCACCAGGAGUGGAGCCUGCGGCUUAAUUUGACUCAACACGGGAAAACUCACCAGGUCCGGACAUAGUAAGGAUUGACAGAUUGAGAGCUCUUUCUUGAUUCUGUGGGUGGAGGUGCAUGGCCGUUCUUAGUUGGUGGAGUGAUUUGUCUGGUUAAUUCCGAUAACGAACGAGACCUUAACCUGCUAACUAGUUGCGUGGUGGCGACACUGCGACACUUCUUAGAGGGACUGACUAUGGUUAAUAGUCGGAAGUUUGAGGCAAUAACAGGUCUGUGAUGCCCUUAGAUGUUCUGGGCUGCACGCGCGCUACACUGACAAAGUCAGCGAGUGGUCCUUGGCCGAGAGGUCUGGGAAAUCUUGUGAAACUUUGUCGUGCUGGGGAUAGAUCAUUGCAAUUAUUGGUCUUGAACGAGGAAUUCCUAGUAAGCGCCAGUCAUCAGCUGGCGUUGAUUACGUCCCUGCCCUUUGUACACACCGCCCGUCGCUACUACCGAUU